This 180-nucleotide non-coding RNA is filed under the name Gammaproteobacteria bacterium. RNAcentral describes it as "6S RNA". It matches the Rfam family "6S / SsrS RNA". Rfam says of the family: E. coli 6S RNA was the first non coding RNA to be sequenced, but its function was unknown until recently. It consists of 184 nucleotides that fold into an extended hairpin structure with a large single-stranded internal bulge. Lineage: Bacteria; Pseudomonadati; Pseudomonadota; Gammaproteobacteria. The record is from RNAcentral.
GUGUCUCCGGGAUGUUGGCGAGUCGGUUUUCGUCCCGUACCGUUAGAAGAAACUUAGGAGACUUCGGUGAAUUGUUGGUGUGCAGGCCGGAUACGUCCGGAAGCCUAAUGCACUUCCUGGGUCACCGCCUUGAACCACUACGGUUCAGGGUCUGACCACUCACUACAUCCCGGAAGUCCU